Molecule: ribosomal RNA, 956 nt
Filed under: Cylindrocladiella variabilis
Lineage: Eukaryota; Fungi; Ascomycota; Sordariomycetes; Hypocreales; Nectriaceae
Description: eukaryotic LSU rRNA
Rfam family: Eukaryotic large subunit ribosomal RNA
Source: RNAcentral
CUUUUCUGAGUUUGACCUCGAAUCAGGUAGGAUUACCCGCUGAACUUAAGCAUAUCAAUAAGCGGAGGAAAAGAAACCAACAGGGAUUGCCCUAGUAACGGCGAGUGAAGCGGCAACAGCUCAAAUUUGAAAUCUGGCCCUCGGGUCCGAGUUGUAAUUUGUAGAGGAUGUUUUUGGUGAGGUACCUUCCGAGUUCCCUGGAACGGGACGCCAUAGAGGGUGAGAGCCCCGUCUGGUUGGAUACCGAUCCUCUGUAAAACUCCUUCAACGAGUCGAGUAGUUUGGGAAUGCUGCUCUAAAUGGGAGGUAUAUGUCUUCUAAAGCUAAAUAUUGGCCAGAGACCGAUAGCGCACAAGUAGAGUGAUCGAAAGAUGAAAAGCACUUUGAAAAGAGAGUUAAAAAGUACGUGAAAUUGUUGAAAGGGAAGCGCUUAUGACCAGACUUGGACUUGGUUGAUCAUCCUGGGUUCUCCCUGGUGCACUCUUCCAGUUCAGGCCAGCAUCAGUUCGUCGCGGGGGAUAAAGGCUUCGGGAAUGUGGCUCCUCCGGGAGUGUUAUAGCCCGUUGUGUAAUACCCUGCUUUGGACUGAGGUUCGCGCAUCUGCAAGGAUGCUGGCGUAAUGGUCAUCAGCGACCCGUCUUGAAACACGGACCAAGGAGUCGUCUUCGUAUGCGAGUGUUCGGGUGUUAAACCCCUACGCGUAAUGAAAGUGAACGCAGGUGAGAGCUUCGGCGCAUCAUCGACCGAUCCUGAUGUUCUCGGAUGGAUUUGAGUAAGAGCAUACGGGGCCGGACCCGAAAGAAGGUGAACUAUGCCUGUAUAGGGUGAAGCCAGAGGAAACUCUGGUGGAGGCUCGCAGCGGUUCUGACGUGCAAAUCGAUCGUCAAAUAUGGGCAUGGGGGCGAAAGACUAAUCGAACCUUCUAGUAGCUGGUUUCCGCAGAGUUUCCCCUCAGA